This 855-nucleotide ribosomal RNA is filed under the name uncultured Neocallimastigales. Its description in RNAcentral is "partial large subunit ribosomal RNA". It matches the Rfam family "Eukaryotic large subunit ribosomal RNA", at positions 26 to 635 of the family's 3401-position model. The record is from RNAcentral. Lineage: Eukaryota; Fungi; Neocallimastigomycota; Neocallimastigomycetes; Neocallimastigales.
CGCAUCUGUGCAUGCAGCAUAUCAAUAAGCGGAGGAAAAGAAACUAACAAGGAUUCCCUUAGUAACGGCGAGUGAAGCGGGAAGAGCUCAAAUUUGAAAUCUUCGAGGUUUUACCUUGACGAAUUGUAGUUUAAAGAAGUGUUUUCUGUUGAAGUUUUGGUAAAAGUUCUUUGGAAUAGGACAUCAUAGAGGGUGAGAAUCCCGUAUUUGACCAUUAUUUUCAGCUGUGUGAUACACUUUCAAAGAGUCGGAUUGUUUGGGAAUGCAGUCCAAAAUGGGUGGUAAAUUUCAUCUAAGCUAAAUAUUGGCGAGAGACCGAUAGCGAACAAGUACCGUGAGGGAAAGAUGAAAAGAACUUUGAAGAGAGAGUUAAACAGUACGUGAAAUUGUCAAAAGGGAAGCGUUUGACACCAGUGUUGUUUUCUCGAAAAUCAAUUAAAAAGAGUUAGAUUUUGUUGUGUAUUGACCUUAACAGCUUGCAUUUCAAUUUUCUUGCUUUUUUUAAUGCACUUUUCGUUUAACAAGUCAACAUCAGUUUCUUUUGUUGUAAAAAGGUCAUUGGAAGGUGGCUUUCUUUUCGGAGAAAGUGUUUAUAGCCUUUGACUCCUGCAAUCGGAGAGACUGAGGUCUGCAGCGUAGAUCCUUCGGGGUUAGAUACAUUUGUGCUAAGUUAUAGCUUUUUAUAGACAACUUGUUGACUAUGAUUAGUCUUGUAGCUUACUCGCUUAUGCUAUUUUACCUACGCUUAGGAUGUUGAUCUGUACGCGCGUGCUCGAUCUAUACAUGACUCUGCGCAUAUCAAUAAGCGGAGGAAAAGGUACCUACGCUUAGGAUGUUGAUCUGUAGUGCGUGCGC